RNAcentral lists this microRNA precursor (126 nucleotides) under Gossypium hirsutum (cotton). RNAcentral describes it as "MIR7502 microRNA precursor family". It matches the Rfam family "MIR7502 microRNA precursor family". The record is from Rfam by way of RNAcentral. Lineage: Eukaryota; Viridiplantae; Streptophyta; Magnoliopsida; Malvales; Malvaceae.
UAUUAAAAAUUUUAUUCAUUUCUACUGUUGAAAUUUGAUUUGAUUAAUAGAAUAACCAAAACAUGUAUCUUAUUCUGAUGUACAUGACUUAAUUUUUAAGGGUAGAAAUAGAUAAUUUUUUUAAUA